ACCCGAUCUACUCUAGAUAGAGUGAGGUAUUGGCUUUAGGACGCGUCAGCGAUCUUUAGCUUGAAUGCAUUAAGGCUGAUGAGUUCCCAAUGGUGGCCUCAAUGUGUGCUAGCGGACAGAUGUUUCGAUGUCACAUUAAGGUUCCAGUGCAAGCUCUAUAAACGGCCUCCUGACGACGUAUGUGUGUGUGUGUGAGUGUGAUUAUGAUGGCAGGCGGCAUGUUUACCAUGCGCUGUCGUCAUCAUCGUGCUCUCAUAUGUGAUCAUGUUGUCGUCAUCAUCUA
RNAcentral lists this unclassified non-coding RNA (283 nucleotides) under uncultured Rozellomycota. Its description in RNAcentral is "uncultured Cryptomycota sequence contains ITS2". The record is from RNAcentral. Lineage: Eukaryota; Fungi; Rozellomycota.